CGAGAGAGUUGAAAGACUCGACAACCCUUUGUGAACCUACCUGAAUAGUUGCUUCGGCGGGCAGCCCCAGGGCGGGGCCGCCGCCUCCCCUCGCGGGAGGUGCCCGCCAGAGGCCCAAGACUCUUAUGUUUCUAGUGGUACUCUGAGUUACAAAAACAAAAUAAAUCA
This 168-nucleotide unclassified non-coding RNA is filed under the name uncultured Sordariales. Its description in RNAcentral is "sequence contains ITS1". Lineage: Eukaryota; Fungi; Ascomycota; Sordariomycetes; Sordariales. The record is from RNAcentral.